This 553-nucleotide ribosomal RNA is filed under the name uncultured bacterium. RNAcentral describes it as "bacterial SSU rRNA". It matches the Rfam family "Bacterial small subunit ribosomal RNA", at positions 355 to 896 of the family's 1533-position model. The record is from RNAcentral.
UAGGGAAUCUUCGGCAAUGGACGGAAGUCUGACCCGAGCAACGCCGCGUGAGUGAAGAAGGUUUUUCGGAUCGUAAAGCUCUGUUGUAAGAGAAGAACGAGUGUGAGAGUGGAAAGUUCACACUGUGACGGUAUCUUACCAGAAAGGGACGGCUAACUACGUGCCAGCAGCCGCGGUAAUACGUAGGUCCCGAGCGUUAUCCGGAUUUAUUGGGCGUAAAGCGAGCGCAGGCGGUUAGAUAAGUCUGAAGUUAAAGGCUGUGGCUUAACCAUAGUACGCUUUGGAAACUGUUUAACUUGAGUGCAAGAGGGGAGAGUGGAAUUCCAUGUGUAGCGGUGAAAUGCGUAGAUAUAUGGAGGAACACCGGUGACGAAAGCGGCUCUCUGGCUUGUAACUGACGCUGAGGCUCGAAAGCGUGGGGAGCAAACAGGAUUAGAUACCCUGGUAGUCCACGCCGUAAACGAUGAGUGCUAGGUGUUAGACCCUUUCCGGGGUUUAGUGCCGUAGCUAACGCAUUAAGCACUCCGCCUGGGGAUNUNCGGCCGCAAGGUUG